This is a long non-coding RNA of Passer domesticus (house sparrow), 437 nucleotides long. RefSeq lists it as uncharacterized. NCBI's taxonomy places the organism in Eukaryota, Metazoa, Chordata, Aves, Passeriformes, Passeridae. The transcript has 3 exons. The record is from RefSeq and is a predicted model, not a curated record.
CCUGAAUUUAACUGUUGACACAUAACACACCAUGUGCCCAGCAUCUUUGGGGAUGAAAUAAAUCUUUUUACAUUACUGCACACUACUCUGGGGUCUCCAACAUAAGAAGGACAUGGAUCUGCUGAACCUAAUCCAAAUCCAAAGGAAGGCCAAGAAGAUAAUCAGGAGGUACUGGAGCACCUCUGCUGUAACAGGAAUGAAGAAGAAAAAGGAAUAUGAGAUGUGAAGAUCUAAGACAUGGUGACAUCUUGAGAGACUUCAACGCAAAAAGACAAUUCAUACCAAAUAAAUGUGUAACUUAGGUUAUGUUUUUAUUUAGUUGAAAUGUUUUUAACUAUAGUGAGAUAAGAUGCCAUUCUUACAUUAGGUAAACAAUUUUUUCCCAAAGUUAGUAACUUCUUGUGCUACAGAAGAUUUUUCAAAGUCAGUUAAGCAUU